This is a non-coding RNA of Marivita cryptomonadis, 93 nucleotides long. The record is from Rfam. NCBI's taxonomy places the organism in Bacteria, Pseudomonadati, Pseudomonadota, Alphaproteobacteria, Rhodobacterales, Roseobacteraceae.
AGAUCGGGAGGCGCGCGGUGGGACGUGUGCCGGGAAUUGAUCGGGUUCGUGUCGUCUCUAUUGGGCAGACCGCCGGGGCCCGACGGUGGAAUG